Molecule: ribosomal RNA, 496 nt
Filed under: uncultured bacterium
Lineage: Bacteria
Description: partial 16S ribosomal RNA
Rfam family: Bacterial small subunit ribosomal RNA
Source: RNAcentral
AUGAACGCUGGCGGCGUGCCUAAUACCUGCAAGUCGAGCGAACAGAUAAGGAGCUUGCUCCUUUGACGUUAGCGGCGGACGGGUGAGUAACACGUGGGUAACUUACCUAUAAGACUGGAAUAACUCCGGGAAACCGGGGCUAAUGCCGGAUAACAUGUUGAACCGCAUGGUUCUACAGUGAAAGGCGGCUUUGCUGUCACUUAUAGAUGGACCCGCGCCGUAUUAGCUAGUUGGUGAGGUGACGGCUCACCAAGGCAACGAUACGUAGCCGACCUGAGAGGGUGAUCGGCCACACUGGAACUGAGACACGGUCCAGACUCCUACGGGAGGCAGCAGUAGGGAAUCUUACGCAAUGGGCGAAAGCCUGACGGAGCAACGCCGCGUGAGUGAUGAAGGUCUUCGGAUCGUAAAACUCUGUUAUUAGGGAAGAACAAAUGCGUAAGUAACUGUGCGCGUCUUGACGGUACCUAAUCAGAAAGCCACGGCUAACUACGUG